Molecule: long non-coding RNA, 342 nt
Filed under: Chrysemys picta bellii (western painted turtle)
Lineage: Eukaryota; Metazoa; Chordata; Testudines; Emydidae
Description: lncRNA (ENSCPBG00000014142.1)
Source: RNAcentral
UUCUGAUUUUCUUUCAUACAUGGUGUCAUGGCAACAGGAAGAAUUCAAAACUAAUCAUAAUCCAGACAAGAUGGCCUCUACUUAUAUUAGAUGUUGGUUUUAUCCUUGCCUUGUGAUUUUAUUUGUGCCAAAACAAGAUCAAUGGAAUUCUUUGCUGCUAAGGAUUUUGUUUUCCAGUGGAAAUGUAACAAUUAUUUAUUCCCUCAAAAAUGAACCCCUACAAGUGAACAUGGACACAGUCCAAGGGAAAGGUGCCUUCAAAAUUCAGAAUGUGUAAGUUAAAAUUUGCAUGUUUGUAUGUUCUUGAUGUACAAAUAGACAUUUUGUUCAAUUUAAUGGGGG